Molecule: ribosomal RNA, 301 nt
Filed under: uncultured bacterium
Lineage: Bacteria
Description: partial 16S ribosomal RNA
Rfam family: Bacterial small subunit ribosomal RNA
Source: RNAcentral
CAGUCGCCGCGGUAAUACGUAGGUCCCGAGCGUUGUCCGGAUUUAUUGGGCGUAAAGCGAGCGCAGGCGGUUAGAUAAGUCUGGAGUUAAAGGCUGUGGCUUAACCAUAGUACGCUUUGGAAACUGUUUAACUUGAGUGCAAGAGGGGAGAGUGGAAUUCCAUGUGUAGCGGUGAAAUGCGUAGAUAUAUGGAGGAACACCGGUGGCGAAAGCGGCUCUCUGGCUUGUAACUGACGCUGAGGCUCGAAAGCGUGGGGAGCAAACAGGAUUAGAUACCCCAGUAGUCCCUGUCUCUUAUACA